CCUACGGGUGGCAGCAGUGGGGAAUAUUGCACAAUGGGGGAAACUCUGAUGCAGCGACGCCGCGUGAGUGAAGAAGUAUUUCUGUAUUUUAAGCUCUAUCAGCAGUGAAGAAAAUGACGGUACAUGAUUAAAAAUCCCCGGCUAACUACGUUCCAGCAGCCGCGGUAAUACGUAGGUGGCAAGCGUUCUCCGGAUUUACUGGUUGUAAAGGGUGCGUAGACGGCAGCACAAGUCUGUAGUGAAAUGCCGGGGAUUAACCCCGGAACUGCUGUGAAGACUGGGGAGCUAGAGAGCAGGUGCGGUAGGUGGAAUGCAUGGUGUAGCGGUGAAAUGCGUAGAGAUUAGGCGGAAAACAGGUGGCGAAGGCAGCUUAC
RNAcentral lists this ribosomal RNA (374 nucleotides) under uncultured bacterium. RNAcentral describes it as "partial 16S ribosomal RNA". It matches the Rfam family "Bacterial small subunit ribosomal RNA", at positions 338 to 729 of the family's 1533-position model. The record is from RNAcentral.